Molecule: ribosomal RNA, 253 nt
Filed under: uncultured bacterium
Lineage: Bacteria
Description: partial 16S ribosomal RNA
Rfam family: Bacterial small subunit ribosomal RNA
Source: RNAcentral
UACGAAGGGGGCUAGCGUUGCUCGGAAUCACUGGGCGUAAAGGGUGCGUAGGCGGGUCUUUAAGUCAGGGGUGAAAUCCUGGAGCUCAACUCCAGAACUGCCUUUUAUACUGAGGAUCUUGAGUACGGGAGAGGUGAGUGGAACUGCGAGUGUAGAGGUGAAAUUCGUAGAUAUUCGCAAGAACACCAGUGGCGAAGGCGGCUCACUGGCUCGAUACUGACGCUGAGGUGCGAAAGCGUGGGGAGCAAACAGG